Long non-coding RNA from Meriones unguiculatus (Mongolian gerbil), 5754 nucleotides. RefSeq lists it as uncharacterized. The record is from RefSeq and is a predicted model, not a curated record. The transcript is spliced from 4 exons. Lineage: Eukaryota; Metazoa; Chordata; Mammalia; Rodentia; Muridae.
AGCGAGGCAGGUGUGGCUAAUUCUGUCUGUUUGUACGUAUCAUCUGGAACCUCCCUGGUUUAAGAGACAACCUCGUAGCAAGAGGUCAGGAACCUCAGGGGAGUUUGGGAGCUUGCUGACUCACUCAUGACAUAUUUACUAGCUUUGUGGGAGAUGCUGUUGGCUUUCAUUUAGGAGAGUCAAUGGUCCUUUCAAUGAGGAGGCCCAACAAGAGGGAGUGUUGUAUAUCCAGUUGCUGAGACUUUCCAGUGGCCCUUAGGGAUCAGAGCAUCAAGCAGACCAGCGGUAGGUGACCAGAGAAGGGUGGCAGAGACUGAAAAAUGGAAAUCUCCCUGGAUGCCUUGGAUGAAGGUAACAGACACUGCCAGGCUCCAGCUAGUUGUUGACAUGUUUCGAUUUGGACCCGAAGGCCGGACCCUUUGAGUCCUGGGCAUCUGAAGACCUGCUUUACUAUGGAUGAACCUCACUGAACUAAAAACUGUGACCAACUAUUGUAAAGUCUGCCCAAGAGUGCCUGUGAUGUAUCCAGGCUCAGCUUUCUGUGAAGGCCAGCUUGGGGAGACAGUGCGUGGCAAACUGGACGGGCAGUGGCUGGCUUUGGGCAUGUGACAUGUUAAAGGCUGGGAAGUCCGCUCUUUACACAGAUGAGACAGAGAGCCCCGUGGGGACCAGGGCUCAGUCACUCACACUGUCUGUCCUUCAGGGCAGCUAUGGCAAACUCCUAGUCUUUGUAGCCACCAUUUAAGCAGUUGCUGUUUGCCUCUGAGGAAUCCUUAGUGAGCCCAUUCAUAGGAGAGUCUCUGAGUAAGAUACCAGCUGCUUGUGAGUCUCUGGCCGACAAAGGGAAUGGCACAGAUGGUCGAUGCUCUUCCCAAACCUGCCUCACACCACAGCGUUUAUUCUACAAGGGCAUCCACUAAUCAUUUACCUAGGGUAAACUGAAAUCCCCAAAUAACUCAGGUGGAAAAAAAUAUUAAGAGUGCCGAAUACCUGUGUUAUUUAUAGCCAUGUCUGCAUUCCAGAUACCUGAGUCAGGCCUCCUGGGAAAAACGUUUCCUUAUCUGCAGUUGACACAGGAAGGUUUUGAGUCUGGGUCAUAUACUUAAUGCUUGUACCCCCUUCCCAAUUCUAAAGUGCAAAAGGCCUUAUCCAGCCAGUGGGGAAAAAAGCAUAGAUAAGAAAUGCAGCCUUCACUCAGCACAGCCUUUGUUCCUUCUGGCCUCUCCUUGUGCAAAUACAGCUUUUAGAGCUCUUAAGAUCUGAACUGUCCACUUACGUUCCUGAUAACGAUUCCAGAAAAAUACCAGCUUCAGAGUGAUCUUGCUUCCUCUCCCCAGCUUGGGGCUUUCCGGAGGGCUGCAUGAAGACGGAAGUUUCCCUACCAGCCGGGUUAUGACCAUGGCGGAGAUGGCCGGAUAUAACUGCGUGGUGAUUUGUAAUUCCACCCACCUAGCGUUUUUAAUCCUUACGAACAGCUUCAUUUCCACGACUCGUUUUCUGUCCCCGAUAACUGUGCAGUGAGGUCAGAGAACAAGCAUUAUCAUCCACGUUUAAAAGAUGAAGGAGUGGAGUCCUGGGAGGCCAACUUGUCCAGAUGGCAAAACGGAGGUGUCUGCAGCCCCCGGGAAGGUUUGUCCCUAUUAUUUCUAAAGCACUGAGGCUCCCAGGACCUUCAGCUGACAUUACUAAGUGGAGGUCAACUCCAUUAUAACAUGCUGCAAUAUGACGUCUGCCUCAUUUGUUCUAUAGGGGAACAAAGACCUGCUAAAAUACCUGUCAUACUUGCAUUCGUCCUAUUCCCAAAUCUCAGUCAUUAUAACAUUGGUACUUUUUAAUGUGAGGAAACAAAAACAAAAAAGGAAAUGUUGUAUUUUUCAUAGUUGCCAAUAUCCUUGAACAGCACAAGGAAGAUUUCAUUUUCUCUGAAGGAAUUUUUUUUUCCUCUAUAGGAUAUUUUGUUCUUCUCUAUGUAGACAUUUCAGCAAGAGAUCAUAGGCUAGCAGGUAGGGCCAGCCAGACAAAUGGUCUUUGAAGGCACUUUUCCAUGUGUUGGGGCUAUUCAAUGGGAAGAUGUUUCUGCUCCUGUCUAGUUUGUAUUUUGAAGGGGGUAGACAGAUGAUAAAUUAUUGACAAUGUAUGAUAGGUAAGGUCAUAGAUAAAAAGUGUUAAGGAAGGCCAGGUGUGGUGGCAUACCUUUAAUCCCAGCACUUGGGAAGCUGAGGCAGUUUAAAUCUCUGAGUUUGAGGCCAGUCUGAUUUACAUAGUGAGUUCUAGGCUGGCCAGGGCUACAUUGUGAGACUCAGUCUCAAAAACAUAAAUCAAUAAAAUAAAUAUGCCUGACAUGGAAAGAAGACAGAAAUUCAAUCCAACCAUUUGAUAAUAUUCACUCAUCACAUAGAAAAGGCUGGGAAUAUGGCCCAAGGAGAUAACUCCAGCUUACGUGGUCCUGGGUCCAAUCCCUAAGUGAGAGCAAGCAGCAAACAGAAGUUAUUCUCUGCCUCUUCACCUCCAUCCUGACCACACCUCCAAAUGAAAGCACUUCUCUUAGGUCUCAAAUCUCACAAUGCCCGCUCUCUGGCACAGAGAGUUCUGUCUUAAGAGUGCUGUGCCCGGCAUCAGCAUAUGUGACCUGAGAACCAUAAACCAAACUAUCAAAUUUGUCUCACUUCCUCUGCCCCUUCCCUGCUCCUCUUUUCUCAGCCUGUGUUAGAUGCCUGUAUAUUAGCCAUUUGUUCAUUCCUGCCACCCAUUUACACUGCUCCUUUCUUGGCCUAAGCCUUCAGUUGGCUCCUCUGGGGCCAUACUCCUGUCAAGAGCCUUGAACUCCCGUCCUAUAUGCAUCAUCUGUAGCAAUCCUACACAUCUGUUAUCCCUAGCCGCUUUCCCAAUGUCAAGUAUUUGGAGAGUUCCACAGAGUUUUCCCUUUCAUUGGUACCUAGGGCAGCAAGAGGAAGAGGAGGGAGAUGGGGCUCUGGACCUUUAACACUACGCAGAAUGCCCCUUGUCUUCAGAUUUACAUAGAUUGUCUCCACGGAAAAUUUCCUUCUGCCCACUCUCCUCAAUGGCAACUCAUGUCCCCUUACUCUGGAAACCCCUACCUGGACAGCUUCACCAUGCCUUGCCAGCAGAGUGAAAGCCAGGUUUCCAUCACAGUAGGAUAAGGCUUUGACUUCUACAGAUGCCCAAAUACCACCAUCCUUUCCUCCUGCUGUCUCUUGCUGCCCACACUGCCUCUUGGCCAGAAUCCAGCUAUGGAACUGUCCCAGGCUCCUGUCUGAUUGAACCUAACCCUUUCUUCAUGCUGGCUUUCCCUUUAGUGUGCCUAGCCCCCCCCCUUCCUGGCAUAAACUUCACCCUUUUCCAUCCCUGAGAGAUAUCACCUACCAUGACCUGAUACUGUACUAUGUGUUUGUUAAUUACUCCUCUCACCACGGAACUAUAAGCUCCAUAAGAAUGAGAGUACUACCUAUUUUAUCACUGUCCUAUCUUCAAGCAUCCAGCAUUCAGUAGAAGACUGUUUGGUAUGUUGUUGUAAAAUGCUCCUUGUGCUAGCUAGUUUUUUGUUUGUUUGUUCGUUUGUAAUCAACGUUACACAGACUUGAGUCAUCUGAGAGGAGGGAACCUCAGCUGAAGCAGCUGAGAAAAUGAAGCCACAAGAUACAGCUGUAGGCAGACAAGGCUGUAGAGUAUUUUCUUCACUAGAGGUUGGUGGUGGACAGCCCAGUCCAAGUGUGGGUGGGGACAGUCUGCAUUCCACAAGAAAGCAGACUGAACAGGCUUUGAGGAGCAAGCCAUAGAAUUCCUUAACGGCUUUUAUAUCAGCUCUUGCCUCCAGGUCCAUGAUCUGCUUGAUUUCCUGUUUUGACGUUUGUGGAAGAGAAAGUGAAAUAAACACACUUUCCUCCCUAACUGAUAUGCUCAUUCAAUAUUUGUAGAUAAUGAAUGAAUAGACAGACAGAUGGAGAGACGGAUGGAUGGAUGGAGACUGCAAGGUGGCCUUUUAAGUUUCCAAGGCUCUCCAGAUCUAACUUACGCUGCACCUACCCUGUCUCUAUACACUCUGACCAAAUUCACUCCUCAACUGUCCCACCCCGCAAACAGUGUUGUCUUACCUGGUGAACCCUUGUCUUUGGAAUGCCCUUCUUCCAUCUCUCUGCUAUAGCAAAUGCCUGUCAAUUAUUAGUCCCCUGCCUGACCUGAUCUCUCUCUCUCUCUCUCUCUCUCUCUCUCUCUCUCUCUCUCUGUUUCUCCCUCCCUUUCUCCCACGCCCCCCACAACCCAGACCUCUACUCUUCUCAUAGAUGCCCAGUGCCCAUCUCUCUCUGUGAAUGCACUGGCACCCUGGCAAUGCUAGGUCUACUGCAUGACAGGUGGGAUCUUGAGUGUUCUGUGUGUUUGAUGACAUCAGAGCUGGGAGGAAGGAAGCAGUGGGUGGCGCAUAAUAGUAGUUCCUUCCUCUUUUCUGUGUUGAGAGUGACAGUCUAAUUGACCUGUGGGUGUUGCUAACUCACAGCAAGGUGACUUUUGCCUUUCACAGGCAAGGUACACCAAGUUCUCCCUAGCCUGGCUUUGCCUCCUGCUCUUGAACACCUCCAGCAGUGCCAAGAAGCCUCUUUUAACUCCUGUUCUCCACACUCCCACAACUAGCUAGACAGUCUCCUUGACUUGUACUCAAAUAACUUUUUUUUUUUCCAGAACUGAAGCUAGUGUUUCCCAAAGUGUGUCCUUAGACUUGGGGGGGGGGGGGGGAAGCAAGUGUGUGAGGGAGAGAUUGCAGCAAGAGUGAGUUCCACAUGCUAUUAUGAAUGCAUCACUUAGUUAGCACAUAUAUACACUUAUGCAUAAGCUAUCAAAGCUACAGAGUGUAAUUAUAUAAGAUUUUCAUGAGUGAUGGAGACAGAUGUAUAAGAAUCUUUGUGAAACAGGUUGAGGACUGACCCGCUGGAGGCAUUAUUAUUUCAUCUCUCCAAAUGAUAAUGCCCAGCGGAAGCCACAGGGGAAGUACAGUCAACUGGGUGUGUAUUCUUUACCGCCACUGCCCUGAAUCGCACUCCGCUUUCCACCCCUUGUUAGUCCCGUUCUACAGACGGAGCAAGAUCCCGCUAAGUUCGCGCAGGCGCUGAGGGGCAAGGGAGGACUCUCCAGCCUCAGGUCUCCCCUUGUCGAGCUGCUUCCAGCCACGCUGCCGCGUGAGAGCCACGGCCCCCUGCGGCUGCUGGCUGUUGCGCAGGGCAGCAAGCCCUUUCCACACAGCAUCCCACGCGAAGUCCUCCUUGUGGAGCAAGAGUUGUAACUGAUGUCUCAAACUGCCUUGGUGAAGGCGAGAGAGCCUGUGGUGGACUGAGGGAAUGUAUGCUGUACCCUGAGAAGGAAGCCCACUGAACAGAGAGAGGACUCUUUCUAGAAGCUGAGGUGACAUCUUUCCUCCCAAACCAUACAAGCAAGCAUUGCAAUGGAAGGUGCUCUCUGGGCUCAACCACUUUGCCUGAACUCUGGCAGCACACACAGAUUGUGGUGACUAAUAUGAAGCCUUUCUUCUCUUUUUGCCACCACUCUCCCAUCCCAGGGGAAGAGGAAAGGGCUGGUCAUGCUUGCUCCUUCUCAGGAAGAGAGCCACGGUGACAGCUGUCCCAGCCUUUUGGGGCCUGUACCAACUUGUUUCCGGGAAAGACUAACACACUUUUCUGAUGGUCUUGUUUCUUCACUACUCUCUUUGUAUUUCUUUUCAAAUGAAACUUGAAAACAACAGGAUAA